RNAcentral lists this ribosomal RNA (258 nucleotides) under uncultured Glomus. RNAcentral describes it as "partial 18S ribosomal RNA". It matches the Rfam family "Eukaryotic small subunit ribosomal RNA", at positions 624 to 886 of the family's 1831-position model. The record is from RNAcentral. Lineage: Eukaryota; Fungi; Glomeromycota; Glomeromycetes; Glomerales; Glomeraceae.
AAGCUCGUAGUUGAAUUUCGGGGUUAGUAGGUUGGUCAUGCCUCUGGUAUGUACUGGUCUCACUGAUUCCUCCUUCCUGAUGAACCUUAAUGCCAUUAAUUUGGUGCUUUGGGGAAUUUGGACUGUUACUUUGAAAAAAUUAGAGUGUUUAAAGCAAGCUAACGCUUGAAUACAUUAGCAUGGAAUAAUGAAAUAGGACGUUCGAUCCUAUUUUGUUGGUUUCUAGGAUUGACGUAAUGAUUAAUAGGGAUAGUUGGG